GACGAACGCUGGCGGCGUGCCUAAUACAUGCAAGUAGAACGCACAGUUUAUACCGUAGCUUGCUACACCAUAGACUGUGAGUUGCGAACGGGUGAGUAACGCGUAGGUAACCUGCCUGGUAGCGGGGGAUAACUAUUGGAAACGAUAGCUAAUACCGCAUAAUAUUAAUUAUUGCAUGAUAAUUGAUUGAAAGAUGCAACUGCAUCACUACCAGAUGGACCUGCGUUGUAUUAGCUAGUAGGUGAGGUAACGGCUCACCUAGGCGACGAUACAUAGCCGACCUGAGAGGGUGAUCGGACACACUGGGACUAGGACACGGCCCAGACUCCUACGGGAGGCAGCAGUAGGGAAUCUUCGGCAAUGGACGAAAGUCUGACCGAGCAACGCCGCGUGAGUGAAGAAGGUUUUCGGAUCGUAAAGCUCUGUUGUAAGAGAAGAACGGGUGUGAGAGUGGAAAGUUCACACUGUGACGGUAUCUGACCAGAAAGGGACGGCUAACUACGUG
RNAcentral lists this ribosomal RNA (505 nucleotides) under uncultured bacterium. Its description in RNAcentral is "partial 16S ribosomal RNA". It matches the Rfam family "Bacterial small subunit ribosomal RNA", at positions 28 to 507 of the family's 1533-position model. The record is from RNAcentral.